UAAGGAAUAUUGGACAAUGGACGCAAGUCUGAUCCAGCCAUGCCGCGCGAAGGAUGAAUGCCCUCUGGGUUGUAAACUUCUUUUAUAGGGGAAGAAAGAUACUUUUUUUAAGGUAGUUGACGGUACCCUAUGAAUAAGCACCGGCUAACUCCGUGCCAGCAGCCGCGGUAAUACGGAGGGUGCAAGCGUUAUCCGGAUUUACUGGGUUUAAAGGGUGCGUAGGCGGGCAUGUAAGUCAGUGGUGAAAUACCGGAGCUUAACUUCAGAACUGCCAUUGAUACUAUAUGUCUUGAAUAUUGUGGAGGUAAGCGGAAUAUGUCAUGUAGCGGUGAAAUGCAUAGAUAUGACAUAGAACACCGAUUGCGGAGGCAGCUUGCUACGCAAAUAUUGACGCUAAGGCACGAAAGCGUGGGGAUCAAACA
This 422-nucleotide ribosomal RNA is filed under the name uncultured bacterium. RNAcentral describes it as "bacterial SSU rRNA". It matches the Rfam family "Bacterial small subunit ribosomal RNA", at positions 355 to 774 of the family's 1533-position model. The record is from RNAcentral.